GAUGAACGCUGGCGGCGUGCCUAAUACAUGCAAGUCGAGCGAACAGACGAGGAGCUUGCUCCUCUGACGUUAGCGGCGGACGGGUGAGUAACACGUGGAUAACCUACCUAUAAGACUGGGAUAACUUCGGGAAACCGGAGCUAAUACCGGAUAAUAUAUUGAACCGCAUGGUUCAAUAGUGAAAGACGGUUUUGCUGUCACUUAUAGAUGGAUCCGCGCCGCAUUAGCUAGUUGGUAAGGUAACGGCUUACCAAGGCAACGAUGCGUAGCCGACCUGAGAGGGUGAUCGGGCACACCGGAACUGAGACACGGUCCAGACUCCUACGGGAGGCAGCAGUAGGGAAUCUUCCGCAAUGGGCGAAAGCCUGACGGAGCAACGCCGCGUGAGUGAUGAAGGUCUUCGGAUCGUAAAACUCUGUUAUUAGGGAAGAACAAAUGUGUAAGUAACUAUGCACGUCUUGACGGUACCUAAUCAGAAAGCCACGGCUAACUACGUG
RNAcentral lists this ribosomal RNA (497 nucleotides) under uncultured bacterium. RNAcentral's name for it is "partial 16S ribosomal RNA". It matches the Rfam family "Bacterial small subunit ribosomal RNA", at positions 28 to 507 of the family's 1533-position model. The record is from RNAcentral.